RNAcentral lists this ribosomal RNA (427 nucleotides) under uncultured bacterium. RNAcentral's name for it is "bacterial SSU rRNA". It matches the Rfam family "Bacterial small subunit ribosomal RNA", at positions 355 to 774 of the family's 1533-position model. The record is from RNAcentral.
UGGGGAAUUUUGGACAAUGGGCGCAAGCCUGAUCCAGCCAUGCCGCGUGGGUGAAGAAGGCCUUCGGGUUGUAAAGCCCUUUCGGCCGGGAAGAAAACGUGCGGGCGAACAGUCUGCAUGGAUGACGGUACCGGAAGAAGAAGCACCGGCUAACUACGUGCCAGCAGCCGCGGUAAUACGUAGGGUGCGAGCGUUAAUCGGAAUUAUUGGGCGUAAAGCGUGCGCAGGCGGCGCCAUAAGACAGCUGUGAAAUCCCCGGGCGUAACCUGGGAACUGCGGUUGUGACUGUGGUGCUAGAGUACGGCAGAGGGAGGUGGAAUUCCUGGUGUAGCAGUGAAAUGCGUAGAGAUCAGGAGGAACACCCGCGAUGUAGACGGCUUGCUAGACCAUAACUGACGCUGAGGCACGAAAGCGUGGGUAGCAAACA